AUGCACGCUGGCGGCGUGCCUAAUACCUGCCAGUCGCACGCAUAGCGAAAGGUGCUUGCACCUUUCAAGUGAGUGGCGAACGGGUGAGUAACACGUGGACAACCUGCCUCAAGGCUGGGGAUAACAUUUGGAAACAGAUGCUAAUACCGAAUAAAACUUAGUGUCGCAUGACACAAAGUUAAAAGGCGCUUCGGCGUCACCUAGAGAUGGAUCCGCGGUGCAUUAGUUAGUUGGUGGGGUAAAGGCCUACCAAGACAAUGAUGCAUAGCCGAGUUGAGAGACUGAUCGGCCACAUUGGGACUGAGACACGGCCCAAACUCCUACGGGAGGCUGCAGUAGGGAAUCUUCCACAAAGGGCGAAAGCCUGAUGGAGCAACGCCGCGUGUGUGAUGAAGGCUUUCGGGUCGUAAAGCACUGUUGUAUGGGAAGAACAGCUAGAAUAGGAAAUGAUUUUAGUUUGACGGUACCAUACCAGAAAGGGACGGCUAAAUACGUG
This 496-nucleotide ribosomal RNA is filed under the name uncultured bacterium. RNAcentral describes it as "partial 16S ribosomal RNA". It matches the Rfam family "Bacterial small subunit ribosomal RNA", at positions 29 to 507 of the family's 1533-position model. The record is from RNAcentral.